This 388-nucleotide long non-coding RNA is filed under the name Elaeis guineensis (African oil palm). Its description in RNAcentral is "long non-coding RNA (EGUI_LNC035082)". Lineage: Eukaryota; Viridiplantae; Streptophyta; Magnoliopsida; Arecales; Arecaceae. The record is from RNAcentral.
GCUGGUCAGACAUGUGGAUGUGCUGAAUGAAUUUGAUCAGUCAGAUACAGAUCUGUUGAUUUAGAAGAGACUUAAAUCUAAAUUUUUUCACUAAAUAUUAAGUCUAGAGGUCUUCCAUCAUUGUAGAGAUGUGGGUGCCUUCCUAGCUUGAUCAUUCUCGGCUAGUUACAGUAGUUCGGUUGUAUCGAAAAAGUACAACUACUCUAUUGGCAUGUGAUGCCCCAGGGUAGAGAUGGGGUUGGGUCUAAUAAUUGUUAGGUAAGGAUCCCAAUGAUGGCUUUGUGUCCGCUAGUGAACGAUGGCUCUGAUUUAACUAAGAAAUAUGCCAAUAACUAUUAGGUGAGGCUAUAGGACUUAGAGACCAAGCCCGCUGUAUCUUACUUAGUGA